AUCAGUGUGUGUGUUAGUGGAAGCGUCUGGAAAGGCGCGCGAUACAGGGUGACAGCCCCGUACACAAAAAUGCACAUGCUGUGAGCUCGAUGAGUAGGGCGGGACACGUGGUAUCCUGUCUGAAUAUGGGGGGACCAUCCUCCAAGGCUAAAUACUCCUGACUGACCGAUAGUGAACCAGUACCGUGAGGGAAAGGCGAAAAGAACCCCGGCGAGGGGAGUGAAAAAGAACCUGAAACCGUGUACGUACAAGCAGUGGGAGCACGCUUAGGCGUGUGACUGCGUACCUUUUGUAUAAUGGGUCAGCGACUUAUAUUCUGUAGCAAGGUUAACCGAAUAGGGGAGCCGAAGGGAAACCGAGUCUUAACUGGGCGUUAAGUUGCAGGGUAUAGACCCGAAACCCGGUGAUCUAGCCAUGGGCAGGUUGAAGGUUGGGUAACACUAACUGGAGGACCGAACCGACUAAUGUUGAAAAAUUAGCGGAUGACUUGUGGCUGGGGGUGAAAGGCCAAUCAAACCGGGAGAUAGCUGGUUCUCCCCGAAAGCU
Molecule: ribosomal RNA, 546 nt
Filed under: Escherichia coli
Lineage: Bacteria; Pseudomonadati; Pseudomonadota; Gammaproteobacteria; Enterobacterales; Enterobacteriaceae
Description: partial 23S ribosomal RNA
Rfam family: Bacterial large subunit ribosomal RNA
Source: RNAcentral